RNAcentral lists this ribosomal RNA (497 nucleotides) under uncultured bacterium. RNAcentral describes it as "partial 16S ribosomal RNA". It matches the Rfam family "Bacterial small subunit ribosomal RNA", at positions 28 to 507 of the family's 1533-position model. The record is from RNAcentral.
GAUGAACGCUGGCGGCGUGCCUAAUACAUGCAAGUCGAGCGAACAGACGAGGAGCUUGCUCCUCUGACGUUAGCGGCGGACGGGUGAGUAACACGUGGAUAACCUACCUAUAAGACUGGGAUAACUUCGGGAAACCGGAGCUAAUACCGGAUAAUAUAUUGAACCGCAUGGUUCAAUAGUGAAAGACGGUUUUGCUGUCACUUAUAGAUGGGUCCGCGCCGCAUUAGCUAGUCGGUAAGGUAACGGCUUACCAAGGCAACGAUGCGUAGCCGACCUGAGAGGGUGAUCGGCCACACUGGAACUGAGACACGGUCCAGACUCCUACGGGAGGCAGCAGUAGGGAAUCUUCCGCAAUGGGCGAAAGCCUGACGGAGCAACGCCGCGUGAGUGAUGAAGGUCUUCGGAUCGUAAAACUCUGUUAUUAGGGAAGAACAAAUGUGUAAGUAACUAUGCACGUCUUGACGGUACCUAAUCAGAAAGCCACGGCUAACUACGUG